This 776-nucleotide long non-coding RNA is filed under the name Aotus nancymaae (Ma's night monkey). RNAcentral describes it as "lncRNA (ENSANAG00000038863.1)". The record is from RNAcentral. Lineage: Eukaryota; Metazoa; Chordata; Mammalia; Primates; Aotidae.
CAGCAAUGACAGGAUGAGAAUUUGAUGCCUUUUGAUUUUCUUACAAUUCUUUUAAUCGGGAGAAGCAAAUAAGUUUCGAUGUGCCAAUUAGUUAAAGAGGAGUGGUAGCUGCAAGCAACACAUCUCUGAGAACUUGGCACUUAGUGGUAUCAGCAAGGCAAAGUCCUUGGGACCAUUUGGCUCACACCUGCAGCUGUGACGCUCUAUCCUCACCUUUUAGGAAAAGGAGUUUGAAGGACAUUUCAGCACCCAGCCCUGCCUGUGGACCCUGUGGACCAUGACACAGACCCUGAGUCCUGGGGGCACUGGGCAGGCACCUGAGGACCUGAGUAAACAAGAAGGCCGGAUGCAGAUUUUCUCCUGGACACUGUGGCCAGGUAAAGCUGAGUCAAUGCUCUCCAGUGCUGGUGAUGCUCUCCUGUGAAUCUUCUCUCUCUUAAGAACCCCAGGAACUGUGAAGGCAGGUUGGCAUAGGGACCCUGAAUAGCAUCUAUAGUUAUAAAUAGCAAUAACCACAGAGCCAAAAAUGCCACAGAGCUGCUGUUGCCUGGGAUAAAAGGGUUUCUUCUCAAAAUGAUGGGGAAACCCUGGGUUAAGCAAAAUCAAACAGGCUUCUUUCCUGCAGGAUUUUUCAGAGAUGCUUUAUGAAACCCUCAAGAAUAGCAUAGAGGACACAUGGCUUCCCCCAGUUGUUUGACCACAGAACACAUGUAUUUGUCAAACCCCUGGAAAUAUCCCGUGGAACAGUUUGGGAAACGCAGUUCUAAAGCUUUUUU